GAUGAACGCUGGCGGCGUGCCUAAUACAUGCAAGUCGAGCGAACAGACGAGGAGCUUGCUCCUCUGACGUUAGCGGCGGACGGGUGAGUAACACGUGGAUAACCUACCUAUAAGACUGGGAUAACUUCGGGAAACCGGAGCUAAUACCGGAUAAUAUAUUGAACCGCAUGGUUCAAUAGUGAAAGACGGUUUUGCUGUCACUUAUAGAUGGAUCCGCGCCGCAUUAGCUAGUUGGUAAGGUAACGGCUUACCAAGGCAACGAUGCGUAGCCGACCUGAGAGGGUGAUCGGCCACAAUGGAACUGAGACACGGUCCAGACUCCUACGGGAGGCAGCAGUAGGGAAUCUUCCGCAAUGGGCGAAAGCCUGACGGAGCAACGCCGCGUGAGUGAUGAAGGUCUUCGGAUCGUAAAACGCUGUUAUUAGGGAAGAACAAAUGUGUAAGUAACUAUGCACGUCUUGACGGUACCUAAUCAGAAAGCCACGGCUAACUACGU
This 496-nucleotide ribosomal RNA is filed under the name uncultured bacterium. RNAcentral's name for it is "partial 16S ribosomal RNA". It matches the Rfam family "Bacterial small subunit ribosomal RNA", at positions 28 to 506 of the family's 1533-position model. The record is from RNAcentral.